RNAcentral lists this ribosomal RNA (497 nucleotides) under uncultured bacterium. RNAcentral's name for it is "partial 16S ribosomal RNA". It matches the Rfam family "Bacterial small subunit ribosomal RNA", at positions 28 to 507 of the family's 1533-position model. The record is from RNAcentral.
GAUGAACGCUGGCGGCGUGCCUAAUACAUGCCAGUCGAGCGAACGGACGAGAAGCUUGCUUCUCUGAUGUUAGCGGCGGACGGGUGAGUAACACGUGGAUAACCUACCUAUAAGACUGGGAUAACUUCGGGAAACCGGAGCUAAUACCGGAUGAUAUUUUGAACCGCAUGGUUCAAAAGUGAAAGACGGUCUUGCUGUCACUUAUAGAUGGAUCCGCGCUGCAUUAGCUAGUUGGUAAGGUAACGGCUUACCAAGGCAACGAUGCAUAGCCGACCUGAGAGGGUGAUCGGCCACACUGGAACUGAGACACGGUCCAGACUCCUACGGGAGGCAGCAGUAGGGAAUCUUCCACAAUGGGCGAAAGCCUGACGGAGCAACGCCGCGUGGGUGAUGAAGGUCUUCGGAUCGUAAAACUCUGUUAUUAGGGAAGAACAUAUGUGUAAGUAACUGUGCACAUCUUGACGGUACCUAAUCAGAAAGCCACGGCUAACUACGUG